Molecule: ribosomal RNA, 477 nt
Filed under: uncultured bacterium
Lineage: Bacteria
Description: partial 16S ribosomal RNA
Rfam family: Bacterial small subunit ribosomal RNA
Source: RNAcentral
AUUGAACGCUGGCGGCAUGCCUUACACAUGCAAGUCGAACGGUAACAGGUUAAGCUGACGAGUGGCGAACGGGUGAGUAAUGUAUCGGAACGUGCCCAGUCGUGGGGGAUAACUGCUCGAAAGAGCAGCUAAUACCGCAUACGACCUGGGGGUGAAAGCGGGGGAUCGCAAGACCUCGCGCGAUUGGAGCGGCCGAUAUCAGAUUAGGUAGUUGGUGAGGUAAAGGCUCACCAAGCCGACGAUCUGUAGCUGGUCUGAGAGGACGACCAGCCACACUGGGACUGAGACACGGCCCAGACUCCUACGGGAGGCAGCAGUGGGGAAUUUUGGACAAUGGGCGCAAGCCUGAUCCAGCCAUGCCGCGUGCGGGAAGAAGGCCUUCGGGUUGUAAACCGCUUUUGUCAGGGAAGAAAAGGUUCUGGCUAAUACCUGGGACUCAUGACGGUACCUGAAGAAUAAGCACCGGCUAACUACGUG